UUUAGAACAAUCCAUGGAAAA
Molecule: non-coding RNA, 21 nt
Filed under: Caenorhabditis elegans
Lineage: Eukaryota; Metazoa; Nematoda; Chromadorea; Rhabditida; Rhabditidae
Source: RNAcentral